AUUUGAAGAUCAAUUUUACCUCCAGAAGAAGGGAACAGCUAUGGGGACGAAAUUUGCCCCUAGUUUUGCCAACCUGUUUAUGGGGGAUUGGGAGGACAAUCACAUUUGGAAUGGACAUCCCUGGAAUAUGAAUAGUCACAGAUAUAAAAGAUACAUCGAUGAUGUUUUCUUUAUAUGGGAAGGUGAGAUGGAAGACCUGCAAGAGUUUUUAGAAUAUGUGAACAAGAAUACCUGGGUAGCAAAACACAGGUGGAAUUCCUUGACCUCACCAUUUAUAUAGAUUCUGGCACAGUGAAAACGAAAACGCACUUUAAAGAAG
Pelobates cultripes (western spadefoot toad) is the source of this 319-nucleotide non-coding RNA. The record is from the annotation of a GenBank genome assembly. NCBI's taxonomy places the organism in Eukaryota, Metazoa, Chordata, Amphibia, Anura, Pelobatidae.